UACGUAGGGUGCGAGCGUUAAUCGGCGUUACUGGGCGUAAAGCGUGCGCAGGCGGUUUUGUAAGACAGACGUGAAAUCCCCGGGCUUAACCUGGGAACUGCGUUUGUGACUGCAAGACUAGAGUACGGCAGAGGGGGGUAGAAUUCCACGUGUAGCAGUGAAAUGCGUAGAUAUCGGGAGGAACACCAGUGGCGAAGGCGACUACCUGGCCUGUUCUUGACGCUGAGGCGCGAAAGCUAGGGGAGCAAACGGG
RNAcentral lists this ribosomal RNA (253 nucleotides) under uncultured bacterium. RNAcentral describes it as "partial 16S ribosomal RNA". It matches the Rfam family "Bacterial small subunit ribosomal RNA", at positions 524 to 776 of the family's 1533-position model. The record is from RNAcentral.